RNAcentral lists this transfer RNA (72 nucleotides) under Bos taurus (domestic cattle). It matches the Rfam family "tRNA". Rfam says of the family: Transfer RNA (tRNA) molecules are approximately 80 nucleotides in length. Their secondary structure includes four short double-helical elements and three loops (D, anti-codon, and T loops). Further hydrogen bonds mediate the characteristic L-shaped molecular structure. tRNAs have two regions of fundamental functional importance: the anti-codon, which is responsible for specific mRNA codon recognition, and the 3' end, to which the tRNAs corresponding amino acid is attached (by aminoacyl-tRNA synthetases). tRNAs cope with the degeneracy of the genetic code in two manners: having more than one tRNA (with a specific anti-codon) for a particular amino acid; and 'wobble' base-pairing, i.e. permitting non-standard base-pairing at the 3rd anti-codon position. RNAcentral also lists the same sequence under 1 other name. The record is from Rfam by way of RNAcentral. Lineage: Eukaryota; Metazoa; Chordata; Mammalia; Artiodactyla; Bovidae.
UCCUUUGUGGCUCAGCUGGUAAAGAAUCUGUCUGCAAUUCAGGUAACCUGGGUUCAAUCCCUGGUUUGGGAA